This 75-nucleotide transfer RNA is filed under the name Nanobdellota archaeon. RNAcentral describes it as "tRNA-Glu". It matches the Rfam family "tRNA". From Rfam's summary of the family: Transfer RNA (tRNA) molecules are approximately 80 nucleotides in length. Lineage: Archaea; Nanobdellati; Nanobdellota. The record is from RNAcentral. RNAcentral also lists the same sequence under 1 other name.
GCUCCUGUCGUCUAGCCCGGUCAAGGAUGAAAGCCUUUCAAGCUUUCGACGCGAGUUCAAAUCUCGCCGGGAGCA